CAGCAGCCGCGGUAAAACAGAGGGUGCGAGCGUUAAUCGGAUUUACUGGGCGUAAAGCGUGCGUAGGCGGCUUUUUAAGUCGGAUGUGAAAUCCCUGAGCUUAACUUAGGAAUUGCAUUCGAUACUGGGAAGCUAGAGUAUGGGAGAGGAUGGUAGAAUUCCAGGUGUAGCGGUGAAAUGCGUAGAGAUCUGGAGGAAUACCGAUGGCGAAGGCAGCCAUCUGGCCUAAUACUGACGCUGAGGUACGAAAGCAUGGGGAGCAAACAGGAUUAGAUACCCCCGUAGUCCCUGUCUCUUAUAC
Molecule: ribosomal RNA, 301 nt
Filed under: uncultured bacterium
Lineage: Bacteria
Description: partial 16S ribosomal RNA
Rfam family: Bacterial small subunit ribosomal RNA
Source: RNAcentral